This 253-nucleotide ribosomal RNA is filed under the name uncultured bacterium. Its description in RNAcentral is "partial 16S ribosomal RNA". It matches the Rfam family "Bacterial small subunit ribosomal RNA", at positions 524 to 776 of the family's 1533-position model. The record is from RNAcentral.
UACGUAGGUGACAAGCGUUGUCCGGAUUUACUGGGCGUAAAGAGCGCGCAGGCGGUCGUUCAAGUCGAGUGUGAAAGCCCCCGGCUCAACUGGGGAGGGUCAUUCGAUACUGAUCGACUCGAAGGCAGGAGAGGGAAGUGGAAUUCCCGGUGUAGUGGUGAAAUGCGUAGAUAUCUGGAGGAAUACCGGUGGCGAAGGCGGCAUCCUGGACCGACAUUGACGCUGAGGCGCGAAAGCUAGGGGAGCAAACGGG